ACUGAGCGCAAAAAACCGCCCUGCCUUUGGAGAGAAGCAGGGCGGCGGCACAUCGCGGACACCGGGUCAGGGGGAGAGAGGCAGGUGGUGCCCGCGCAUCGGGUGUGGCCUAGCGCGAGGUUGCUGCUUCGUGGACGGCCGUGAAGUUCGGGUGAUUGAUGGUCCGGACGGCACUGUCCAUGGUGCGGGUCUCGCAGUACCGCAAGGCGAGUGCCUGCGGGAACGGGAUGCCGGCGCUUUCGGCGAUGCA
RNAcentral lists this ribosomal RNA (250 nucleotides) under uncultured archaeon. Its description in RNAcentral is "partial 16S ribosomal RNA". The record is from RNAcentral.